AAGUCGUAACAAGGUUUCCGUAGGUGAACCUGCGGAAGGAUCAUUAACACGUAUCCACGUUUAAUCACUCUGUGUAUUCGUUGUAGCAUCAAUCAAUCAAUCCGGCCUACUGCAUGCAGUAGUAUGAUUGAUUGAUUGAUGCUACUCAUCAUCAUCAUCAUCAUACUACCUGUCAUGACUAUGUCAAUACAGGCAGUGUGAGUGGAGGAUGGAUGGAGGUUGAGAGAAUUCUCUCUCAUUCCUCUUGUCUCUCCUCGUUUCUUAUUCCACCCUUCAAUCCACCCUAAUGUUAGUAGAUUCUUCUAAAUGUCGUCGUCGUCGUCGGCAAAUGAAAUUUGAUUUCUUUUGUCGCUCAGCGUGCGUACGUUCAUUUCAUUGCUAAAUCAAUGAACACAACUACAACUCUUAGCCAUGGAUGUCUAGGUUCUC
RNAcentral lists this unclassified non-coding RNA (429 nucleotides) under fungal sp. RNAcentral's name for it is "partial internal transcribed spacer region". The stretch from base 1 to 46 matches the Rfam family "Eukaryotic small subunit ribosomal RNA", at positions 1786 to 1831 of the family's 1831-position model. Lineage: Eukaryota; Fungi. The record is from RNAcentral.